CAAAAAGGUGAUGAUCUAUUUCAUAUGCAGUUACUUGUUGUUUCCUGAUGUUGAACCUAGAUCUCAGUUGGAGAAUGAAAUAAGCUCUUACUCUUUGUUUUCUAAAGUUGGGCCUAGAUUUCACUUGGAGAGUCUGUGGAGUGAAGGAUAUAGCUAAGACAUUUGUUACCAGGCUUCGCUAUGUCAUCUUUCCAAAACUGUGGACAUGGGAAGGAACGAAAACCACCUCUGAAUUGAUGGGUCCGAGUUCAGUUCCUGAUAGUCAUUUGUCAAUCAUGGCUUACUUUCAGAUUCUCUAUAAUCCAAUGACCUGUUCUGUUUGCAGUCAAUGCAGGCCUAAAAGCAAUCACUGCAUGCAAGUAGGCAAUAGCUGGAAGUUUACAAACUUGGGAACCUACUGCAACCCAGCUCCACCCUAGUCAGUGUUCCCUCGGCUUCUUUUAUCAGUUUUCUUAUCCAUUCUAUGCCAUACAAGGUCCAAUUCAUCUGCAUCCUCGAACAACUGUCUAUUUUCAUGCUCCAUCAAUCUUCUAUGAACCUAAUUCUCGAACAACUGAGUCUCAUCUUCGGAAGGAGAGUAACCCAUAACUUGUUGAGGUGCCUACCAGCCAGAUAAAUCUAGCAUGCACCUGCAAUGCUUAGCUCGACCAUCCCUUCAAACUCAGAGCUCAUAUUUGUGGGCACGAAAACUCAUUAAAUUUGAUUAUGUUCCAUGAUCCUCUCAAAUGUUUUCAAACUUCAGUUUUCCAGCAUGCUUGAGUGAAAAAAUUGCAAGUACCAAGGCCUCCGAUGAAGGGAAGAUGAGACAAUGGGAUCGGAGAGUGGAUCCUGUAACAAGCCUCUAGACCAAGAGCUUGAACCUGGGAUGUGGGUUCUGAAUCUGAUGAAAGACUAGUUGAAUUGAGCGUUGAGCAUGGGCAUCCUUUAAUAUCAUUUUUAGCAUCGUCCACUGCCACAAAGGAUCAAGACAAUGCAGGGUAUUAAUUCGGUGAAAUUACCAUAAAACAGGCAAAAUUCAAUCGAGCUUUGGUAGACUUUUAACAAUUUGGGGCCAAAGCUAUGGGCUACCUAUAUACAUUAUUAUUAUC
This is a long non-coding RNA of Vitis riparia (riverbank grape), 1088 nucleotides long. RefSeq lists it as uncharacterized. NCBI's taxonomy places the organism in Eukaryota, Viridiplantae, Streptophyta, Magnoliopsida, Vitales, Vitaceae. The record is from RefSeq and is a predicted model, not a curated record. The transcript is spliced from 2 exons.